This 442-nucleotide ribosomal RNA is filed under the name uncultured Synergistaceae bacterium. Its description in RNAcentral is "bacterial SSU rRNA". It matches the Rfam family "Bacterial small subunit ribosomal RNA", at positions 338 to 795 of the family's 1533-position model. Lineage: Bacteria; Thermotogati; Synergistota; Synergistia; Synergistales; Synergistaceae. The record is from RNAcentral.
CCUACGGGCGGCUGCAGUGGGGAAUAUUGGGCAAUGGGGGCAACCCUGACCCAGCGACGCCGCGUGAGGGAAGAAGGCCUUCGGGUCGUAAACCGCUUUUGUACGUGAAGAAGCAGAUGACGGUAGCGUACGAAUAAGUCCCGGCUAACUACGUGCCAGCAGCCGCGGUAAUACGUAGGGGACGAGCGUUGUCCGGAAUUACUGGGCGUAAAGGGCGCGCAGGCUGCGCGUCGAGUCGGCUGUUAAAGAUCCGGGCUUAACCCGGUGAAGCGGUCGAGACCGACGAGCUGGAGUGCUGCAGAGGCAAGUGGAAUUCCCGGUGUAGCGGUGAAAUGCGUAGAUAUCGGGAAGAACACCGGUGGCGAAGGCGACUUGCUGGGCAGCAACUGACGCUGAGGCGCGAAAGCCAGGGGAGCAAACGGGAUUAGAUACCCCUGUAGUC